Long non-coding RNA from Hyaena hyaena (striped hyena), 1106 nucleotides. RefSeq lists it as uncharacterized. The transcript has 3 exons. NCBI's taxonomy places the organism in Eukaryota, Metazoa, Chordata, Mammalia, Carnivora, Hyaenidae. The record is from RefSeq and is a predicted model, not a curated record.
AGUGCACAGCAGGCACAACAGGCCACCCAGAGGCCCAUGAAAUUUGCACGCCCCAGCUCUAGAGGCUGGUCCUGGUUUCCAGGGACACCAGCCAACCUCACAGCCCGAGGGCACCGUUUUCCUGAAGGAGCACCUCUUCAGUGGCUGCAGUACCUUUGCUCAGUUCAGUGGUGAAACAGUAAUACCAAGGUUUCAACUCAGGUAAUUCUGGAAGUGGCGUUCCUUGGUCAUGGCGAAGUCGGAAGAAACCCCCUUUGCUGCUUUCAGCAAAGGGGAUUUCCGUGCACAGAUACCCUGUGAGAGCAGCACGGAUGGUGGGCACAAACCGGACCCCUGAGGAGCCAGGCCUCGAUCCUGGGCCCCGAUGACCAGCGCUGGCCACAGGUGAUGUGUUGAGGGGCCCCUCAGUCCCUCCCUGCAUGGCCUGGACUGCUCUCCGGCCACACCCCCCAACUGUCUCCUCCUGGUGGCUCUUACUCACUGUGCGAGAGAGCAUACUCCUUGCUCUCUGCCUCAAAAACCUCUGGCCAACGCGAUGAUGCCUAAAACAGGCGUCGCUACCCUCUCCUGUGGCGCCAGCCCCUUAGAUGACAUCUCAGGAGCCUGUGAUCGGGCCUCAGACCCCCACUCUGCCUUCGCCCCCUCCGUUUUGCCUUUGGACUUGAUGUUCCCGCAGUCUGAUUUACUCAGUGCUCGUGUUGGUUUCCUGUGGAGGCUCUAACAAACUACCACAACUCGAGAGGCUUCCUGCGAUACCAGUGUAUCAUCUUGCAGUUCCGGAAGUCACACGUCCAAAAUGGAACUUGUUAGGUUCAAAUCAAGGUGUUGGCUGGCCUGUGUUCCUUUCUGGAGGCUCUAAAAGAAAAUCCAUUGACUUGCCUUUUACAGCCUCUAGGGGCUGCAUGUACGCCUUAGUCUGUGGCCCUUCCGCCAUCUUGAAAGCCAGCAACACGGGCCAGGAGCUUCUCACUUUGCCAGUGCUCUGGCUCCCCGUCUUCUGCCUCCUCCACUUACAAGAACUUUUAUGAUUAUGUCGAGCCCAACCAGCCAGAUAACUGGAAAAACUUCACCCCUCAAGGUCAUCUGAUUAACCUUAAAUUUCACAU